This 1031-nucleotide ribosomal RNA is filed under the name Aspergillus niger. RNAcentral's name for it is "SSU rRNA". It matches the Rfam family "Eukaryotic small subunit ribosomal RNA", at positions 69 to 1111 of the family's 1831-position model. The record is from RNAcentral. Lineage: Eukaryota; Fungi; Ascomycota; Eurotiomycetes; Eurotiales; Aspergillaceae.
GCACUUUAUACUGUGAAACUGCGAAUGGCUCAUUAAAUCAGUUAUCGUUUACGGAAGUACCUUACUACAUGGAUACCUGUGGUAAUUCUAGAGCUAAUACAUGCUGAAAACCUCGACUUCGGAAGGGGUGUAUUUAUUAGAUAAAAAACCAAUGCCCUUCGGGGCUCCUUGGUGAAUCAUAAUAACUUAACGAAUCGCAUGGCCUUGCGCCGGCGAUGGUUCAUUCAAAUUUCUGCCCUAUCAACUUUCGAUGGUAGGAUAGUGGCCUACCAUGGUGGCAACGGGUAACGGGGAAUUAGGGUUCGAUUCCGGAGAGGGAGCCUGAGAAACGGCUACCACAUCCAAGGAAGGCAGCAGGCGCGCAAAUUACCCAAUCCCGACACGGGGAGGUAGUGACAAUAAAUACUGAUACGGGGCUCUUUUGGGUCUCGUAAUUGGAAUGAGUACAAUCUAAAUCCCUUAACGAGGAACAAUUGGAGGGCAAGUCUGGUGCCAGCAGCCGCGGUAAUUCCAGCUCCAAUAGCGUAUAUUAAAGUUGUUGCAGUUAAAAAGCUCGUAGUUGAACCUUGGGUCUGGCUGGCCGGUCCGCCUCACCGCGAGUACUGGUCCGGCUGGACCUUUCCUUCUGGGGAAUCUCAUGGCCUUCACUGGCUGUGGGGGGAACCAGGACUUUUACUGUGAAAAAAUUAGAGUGUUCAAAGCAGGCCUUUGCUCGAAUACAUUAGCAUGGAAUAAUAGAAUAGGACGUGCGGUUCUAUUUUGUUGGUUUCUAGGACCGCCGUAAUGAUUAAUAGGGAUAGUCGGGGGCGUCAGUAUUCAGCUGUCAGAGGUGAAAUUCUUGGAUUUGCUGAAGACUAACUACUGCGAAAGCAUUCGCCAAGGAUGUUUUCAUUAAUCAGGGAACGAAAGUUAGGGGAUCGAAGACGAUCAGAUACCGUCGUAGUCUUAACCAUAAACUAUGCCGACUAGGGAUCGGACGGUGUUUCUAUUAUGACCCGUUCGGCACCUUACGAGAAAUCAAAGUUUUUGGG